GGGCGGAUGGUUUAGUGGUAUAAUUUUCCCUUAGCAUCGGCAGCGGUCCAGUUGCCUCCCGCAUGGGAAAGGUCCGGGGUUCGAUUCCCCGUUCGUCCA
Molecule: transfer RNA, 99 nt
Filed under: Trichoderma longibrachiatum
Lineage: Eukaryota; Fungi; Ascomycota; Sordariomycetes; Hypocreales; Hypocreaceae
Also listed under: 4 other names
Description: tRNA-Ala
Rfam family: tRNA
About the family: Transfer RNA (tRNA) molecules are approximately 80 nucleotides in length. Their secondary structure includes four short double-helical elements and three loops (D, anti-codon, and T loops).
Source: RNAcentral